AGCAGCCGCGGUAAUUCCAGCUCCAAUAGCGUAUAUUAAAGUUGUUGCAGUUAAAAAGCUCGUAGUUGAAUUUCGGGAUCAGCGCGUCGGUCGUGCCUCCGGUAUGCACUGGCGCCGCUGGUUUCUCCCUUCUGAGGAACCGUGAUGUCAUUAAUUUGGUGUUGCGGGAAAUCAGGACUGUUACUUUGAAAAAUCAGAGUGUUUAAAGCGGGCACGCGCUUGAAUACAUUAGCAUGGAAUAACGAAAUAGGACGUUCGAUCUUAUUUUGUUGGUUUCUAGGAUUGACGUAAUGAUUAAUAGGGAUAGUUGGGGGCAUUAGUAUUCAAUUGUCAGAGGUGAAAUUCUUGGAUUUAUUGGAGACUAACUACUGCGAAAGCAUUUGCCAAGGAUGUUUUCAUUAAUCAAGAACGAAAGUUAGGGGAUCGAAGACGAUCAGAUACCGUCGUAGUCUUAACCAUAAACUAUGCCGACUAGGGAUCGGAUGAUGUUAAUUUUAAUGACUCAUUCGGCGCCUUACGG
This 520-nucleotide ribosomal RNA is filed under the name uncultured Glomeromycotina. RNAcentral describes it as "SSU rRNA". It matches the Rfam family "Eukaryotic small subunit ribosomal RNA", at positions 569 to 1093 of the family's 1831-position model. Lineage: Eukaryota; Fungi; Glomeromycota. The record is from RNAcentral.